Molecule: long non-coding RNA, 499 nt
Filed under: Rhinolophus ferrumequinum (greater horseshoe bat)
Lineage: Eukaryota; Metazoa; Chordata; Mammalia; Chiroptera; Rhinolophidae
Description: lncRNA (ENSRFEG00010018964.1)
Source: RNAcentral
CGCGGAGCCGGGAGCGCGCCGCCUGCUGCCGAGCGCUCGCCGCUCUCUCGCGCCCCUGCUCGCUGCGCUGCCCGCACCCCCGUGGAGCGCCCGGCAGCCGCCGGAGCGCGGGAGGCACACCCCGCCGGGCUCGGGCCGAGGCGGCGCGACCGCAGGUCCGACAGCCGAGGGCGCCGCGGAGGCCGGAGCGGAGGCGAAGUCCAGCCCUGAGUGAGCCCAGCUUCUGCGGAUCAGGAGUUGGACCACAGCACCUUCCCUUCCUCCCAGCCCUGCCUCCUUCUGCAGAACGAAGCUCAAUAGAACUUUGUUGUUUUGCUUUUUACGCUGAGGGGAGAGAAGCAGACGAUGAGGAGAAAAUAAUGAAUGUCAAAGGAAAAGUGAUUCUGUCAAUGCUGGUUGUGUCAACUGUAGUUGUUGUGUUUUGGGAAUAUAUCAACAGGUAAUUAUGAAACACGAUGAAAUGAUGUUGAUGAAAGUUAAUCUAGUAUUAACCAAGUCA